GUGCAGUCUAGAAAACGCAUUGGCAGAUGGUGAUGGAGAGUAGAGUAGUAAGGUGUGGCAUGGCAGGGCAUUAAGAAUAGGAUACUCUUCACUUUCUCAUUGCGGGCUUCUUUGGAUAGAUAGAUCAUUACAUCCUCAGUUCCCCUCUGAUGAACCAAAUUCAUAUAGAUCGCCAUUGGAAUAUUGGUUGCUAACAAGAAGAUGACGGCAAAUGCUACUUUUGAAGGCCAUUUGGUAUAACUGUUUGAAGAACCUUUCCUCAUCACACAUGGAGAAUCAGGUCUUGCCAUAACAGACAAUGCAUAUCCAGAGAACAUCAAUGCUAUUGGCAGCACAGGCAAGACAAACCUGAAUUCUUUGUGGCCCAAUAAACUGUAAAGAACGAUAACCCAUGCAAUGAGACCAGAAUGCUUCCAACAUUUAGACUUGAUACUGCCAGCUAUUGCAAAUGGUAAGAAAGUGAAGAGCAUAACAGGAAAUCCCUGAGAGAAGUACCAGUGCCACUUGUGAGUUCCAUAAUAAUCUCCGCCAGAGGAAAGAAAAUUGAACUUAAGAAAAUUAAGAGGCACUAUGACCCACGAGCCAUACAUCAAACGAUCCAACAAACAAGAAAGACCAAGCACCAAACCCCCAAUGGGAACCACCUCUAGAAUAACGAAUCUCAGUUUAUCACGUGUGACAAACAGUUCAAGAAGGCCAACAUAGACCCAGAUGAUAGCACUUGUUGGUCGAAUUGCACAAGCUAAUGCUGCUACGGUCAAACCCCACUUCCUUGUUGAAACUAAUGAUACUUUACUAGGAUAUUCUCUCAUACAGGGCCAAAAGUACAAACCCACCAGUGUAAGAACAGUUUCCAAGCUAUUGGACAAUGUACGAUUGAAGCAGUAAAACAUGAACCAGUUUGCUAAUUGAGAGAAGAGUGCCCAAUUUGCUACAGAAUAAUUGAAGAGAGCAUAAGAAAGUUUGUACAAGUACAGAUCACCAACUGCAGAAAACAGUGCUUGCAGCAUUCGUGGAGCCUUGGUCAUAAACCAUGGAGUAUCAAGACCUAACAAUGCAAGAACUUUGAACAUCAAAGCAAACACCAAUGGGUGCAAAUAGCUACGAAUCCCCUUCUUCCACUCCCAAGUCAAGUGACCGUACCCAAAUACAAUGCGAUGAGCAACUUCAAGGGCUUGCCAGUGCUCAUCUGGAUUGAAAUAUGUUUGUAUCAGCAGAGAAUUUGCUAUUCGAAAAGCUAGACACAGUGCAAAGAUAUUCUUUGACGAGGAAAAGAUGUUAGAUUUCUGGGACUUUGUUUCUUCUCCUCCUCCUCCUUGUUUGGAGAUAUCAGGGUUUUGAGGUGUGAGUUUAGCGGAUGGUGAUUCAGCUGUACUGCGUCUCUGCCUCAUUCUUCGCACAACUGGCAGCAGGAGAAACGAAGACCGGAAUCUACUCUAAUGCACCAAGCAGGUAUUUUGUUCCUUAACUUUUACUAUGACGUAGAGAGAGAGAGAGAGAGCAAGAGAGCGAAAAAGGAGAUCUGAUCGAAUCGAGAGAGAAAGGUGAACAAGCACGAACCCUUAACCCUACUGUUUCUUCCAAUCCCAAAACUUCUCUUUUUCUAUAUGUGCCUGUAUAGAAAGACAUAUUUCUAUAGAUAGUUCUCUGUGUAUGUUUCUAUAGAUUUGGAUUAGAAUAAAUCGAGAAAGGUUCGAGCUUGCUGUUUGGUUUUUGUUUGUGUUUUGGGGUUUUGCCCUAAUUGAAUUCUGAUUCUGGGAAAAUUUAGGGUUUUUCGGGCUGGUAGUACAGGGAAGCGAAAAACCCUAGUUUUGGGCCAGUCUUGAGAUUCGGUUUGUGUGGAGAAAAAGAAAUUAGGGUUUUGGAGUUACAUGUAUGGCUUCGGGGACCAUAGUUGGAGAGGGAGGUGGAAAUGAUGGAGCUAGAGAGAAGCAGAGGUAUACAGAGAGUAAAGUUUAUACAAGAAAAGCUUUUAAAGGGCCUAAGAACAACAUCAACAAGCUCACGACUACGACUACAACUACGACCACCAUAGCCGCCACCACCAAUACUAACAAUAACACCACCACAAACACUGUCAACACCACAAUAACCACCACCGCAACUGCAACUGCAAACGACGACGACGACAACAACAAUAACAAGAGCAGCAGCAACGACAGGAACAAUGAGAACAACUCUAUUCGAAUGCCGGAGUCGCAAACCCCAGCUUUAGAAGACACAAAUUCGGCCCAGCAACAGCCCAUUUCUCGCCUGGAUGCCAACUCGGACGAUUCUUCUAGCCUCAAUAGGCAUCAAGGAACGCCAGCUGUGGCCCCAAGUGGUCCGGAACUGACUGCUGGCAAUGGGGUAGUGAAGCGAGGUUUGGACAAUAAGGUAAAGAUAAAUUUGGCGUCCAAGUCUAAGCAGGAGAUGAGAGAUCUCAGGAGGAAGCUCGAGAGUGAACUUGAUAUGGUAAGGAGUUUGGUGAAAAGGAUUGAGGCCAAGGAAGUGCAGCUUGGUGUUGGUGGGUAUGGUAAUUCUCGAUUGUCUCUGACUGAGGUUGAUAAUGGAUUGAAGAGGGUAAAUUCGGAGGUGGGCUCAGUGGGUGCUCCUCGUGAGAUUACUACUCCUAUUCUUACUCCUACUCCUAGGCAGUCUAGGCCUUUGAAUCAGCUUAGCAUAUCAGUGUUGGAGAAUAGCCAGGGUCCUGGUGAGACCGUGGAGAAAGAGAAAAGGACACCAAAGGCAAAUCAGUUUUAUAGGAAUUCAGAGUUUUUGCUUGCAAAAGACAAGUUUCCACCAGCAGAGAGUAACAAGAAGUCGAAAUUGAAUGGGAAGAAGCAAGGGGAAAGAGACUUGGGAUUUGGCUUUGGGACGGGAUCUAAGGUUUUCAAGAAUUGUAGUGCUUUGCUUGAGAAAUUGAUGAAGCAUAAGCAUGGUUGGGUGUUUAAUACUCCUGUUGAUGUAAAGACUCUUGGUUUGCAUGAUUACUUUACUAUUAUUAAGCAUCCAAUGGACUUGGGUACUGUGAAGACAAGGCUGACUAAGAAUUGGUACAAGUCGGCUGAAGAGUUUGCGGAGGAUGUGAGACUAACAUUUCAUAACGCUUUGAAGUAUAACCCAAAGGGGCAGGAUGUUCAUAUAAUGGCAGAGGUGCUAUUGAAGGUGUUUGAGGACAAGUGGGCUGUUAUAAAGUCAGAUUAUGAUCGUGAGAUGAGGUUUGCUUCCAGUUAUGAGCUGGGUAUUCCUACACCAACAUCGAGAAAGGCUCCUCUGCUGCCACCCCCUCCUCUUGAUAUGCGGAGGAUUUUGGAUAGAUCAGAAUCGAUGACUCAUCCUCCUGCUGAUCCUAGACCAAAACCUAUUAUUACAACUCCUUCAGGAAGAAUCCCUGCUCUGAAAAAGCCUAAGGCAAAGGAUCCACACAAGAGGGACAUGACUUAUGAGGAGAAGCAGAAGCUUAGCACAAACCUCCAAAGUCUACCUUCAGAGAAGCUGGACAAUAUUAUCCAGAUAAUAAAGAAGAGGAAUUCAUCACUUUGCCAACAUGAUGAUGAAAUUGAAGUGGACAUUGAUAGUGUUGAUGCAGAGACUCUUUGGGAAUUGGAUAGGUUUGUUAUCAACUACAAGAAGAGUUUAAGCAAGAACAAGAGAAAAGUUGAACUCGCCAUUCAAGCGAGAGUAGAAGCUAAGCAGAAUGCCCCGGAGAAGAUACCAGCACCAGUUGUGGCAGAGACACCACUUGAAACUAAGACAGAUGAAAGAAAUGUUUCUGCUUCUUCACCUGUUCCAGUGGAGGAACAGGGAGAUAAUGGAACUAGGUCAAGUAGUUCCAGCAGCUCUAGCAGUGAUUCUGGAUCUUCGUCAAGUGACACUGAUAGUGACAGCUCCUCGGCUUCUGGAUCUGAUGUAGGGCAUUAACUGAGUAGUUGAGUAGUUAUGGUGGGUUCAUUUCCUUUAAUGGAUUUCCUCAAAAUUUAUAUUUUUACAUGAAUUGGGCAACCCCCUGUUAUUGAUUCAUGAAUUUACGAAAUAUGCUCAAUGAUAUGUAUCUGCUACCUGGCUUUCUUUUGGCGUAUUACUUUUUAGUACUUUUGCACUGGCUAGACUGCAAGGGACACUGGCAAUUUGCUAACUGAAGAGCUGUUAAUGGAAUGGUUAGUUUUCGUUGUGAGGAAAAGUGUGAAAGGUUGAUUAAUGGUUGCAGGAGAUGAUCAGUUUGGUGUAUUUUUUAAUCCUUUUCAUUCAUUAUGGGAUUUAUGCAUCUUAUAUAAACGGGUGAAAAUAAAUUUGUUGCACAUCAAAUAAUUUUUUGGGUUAUUUAUAUUGUAUACCUGUUCUGUACCUACACAGGACUGUGUAAGUAGUGUAAGGUUAGGUUGAUAAUGUGGUCUUUGCUGCCCUGGAAAAGCGCCUACUGGCUUUUGGUGAGUUGGUU
This 4420-nucleotide unclassified non-coding RNA is filed under the name Hevea brasiliensis (rubber tree). The record is from RNAcentral. Lineage: Eukaryota; Viridiplantae; Streptophyta; Magnoliopsida; Malpighiales; Euphorbiaceae.